GACAGAGGGUGCAAACGUUGUUCGGAAUUACUGGGCGUAAGCGCGUGUAGGCGGCCAUCUAAGUCGGGCGUGAAAUCCCACGGCUCAACCGUGGAAGUGCACUCGAAACUGGAUGGCUAGAGUCCUGGAGAGGAAGGUGGAAUGCUUGGUGUAGAGGUGAAAUUCGUAGAUAUCAAGCGGAACACCGGUGGCGAAGGCGGCCUUCUGGACAGUGACUGACGCUGAGACGCGAAAGCGUGGGGAGCAAACAGG
RNAcentral lists this ribosomal RNA (252 nucleotides) under uncultured bacterium. RNAcentral's name for it is "partial 16S ribosomal RNA". It matches the Rfam family "Bacterial small subunit ribosomal RNA", at positions 524 to 776 of the family's 1533-position model. The record is from RNAcentral.